RNAcentral lists this ribosomal RNA (912 nucleotides) under Alcanivorax sp. RNAcentral's name for it is "bacterial SSU rRNA". It matches the Rfam family "Bacterial small subunit ribosomal RNA", at positions 49 to 958 of the family's 1533-position model. The record is from RNAcentral. Lineage: Bacteria; Pseudomonadati; Pseudomonadota; Gammaproteobacteria; Oceanospirillales; Alcanivoracaceae.
GAUUACUUAAGCGGAGAGACGACGAUGAGAUUGCUCCCAGGAGUCGAGCGGCGGAGGCGUUUAUUAACUUUGUGAAUCUGCCCAUUAGUGGUGGAUAACUCCGGGAAACUCGAGCUAAUACCGCAUAAUCACUACGGGGGAAAGAAGGGGAUCUUCGGACCUUGUUCUGAUGGAUGAGCCCGCCUCUCAUUAACUUGUUGGUGGGGUGGUGUCCCACCAAGGCGACGAUCCGUAGCUGGUCUGAGAGGAUGGCCAGUCUCCCCGGGACUGAGAUACGGCCCGGACUCCUACGGGAGGCAGCAGUGGGGAAUCUUGAAUGUGGGCGCAAGCCUGAUCCAGCCAUGCCGCGUGUGUGAAGAAGGCCUUCGGGUUGUAAAGCACUUUCAGUAGGGAGGAAGGCUUUGGGCUAAUACCCUGGAGUACUUGACGUUACCUACAGAAGAAGCACCGGCUAAUUUCGUGCCCGCAGCCGCGGGUAAUACGAAAGGCGCGAGCGUUAAUCGGAAUUACUGGUUGUAAAGCGCGCGUACGCGGUGUGUUAACUCGGAUGUAAAAACCCAGGGCUCAACCGUGGAAUUGCGUCCGAUACUGCCACGCUAGAGUGCACUAAAGGGAGGUGGAAUUUCCGGUGUUCGGAGAUUUGCGUAGAGAUCCGAAGGAACACCAGUUGGAGAAGGCGGCCUCCUGGACUGACACUGACGCUUGAUGUGCGAAAGCGUGGGGAGCAGACAGGAUUAGAUACCUGAUAGUCCACGCCGUAACGAUGUCUACUAGCCGUUGCGGUCCUUUAGUGACUUUGGUGGGGAACUUACGCGAUAAGUAAACCGCUGAGGAGUACCGCCGCAGGUUAAAUCUCAAAUGAUUGACGGGGGCCCCGCAUAGCGGGGGGAGCGUGCGGUUUAUUGAGUGGCA